CCCUUAGACGUUCUGGGCCGCACGCGCGCUACACUGACCAGUGCAACAAGCAUCCGUCCUUGGCCGACAGGCCCGGGCAAUCUUUGAACGCUGGUCGUGAUGGGGAUAGACUUUUGCAAUUUUUGGUCUUCAACGAGGAAUUCCUAGUAAACGCAAGUCAUCAACUUGCAUUGAUUACGUCCCUGCCCUUUGUACACACCGCCCGUCGCACCUACCGAUUGAAUGGUCCGGUGAAGCCUCCGGAUUGGGGCGCACCUCGGUGCCGCCGAGAAGUUGGCUAAACCUUACCAUUUAGAGGAAGGUGAAGUCGUAACA
This 315-nucleotide ribosomal RNA is filed under the name uncultured eukaryote. Its description in RNAcentral is "partial 18S ribosomal RNA". It matches the Rfam family "Eukaryotic small subunit ribosomal RNA", at positions 1470 to 1796 of the family's 1831-position model. The record is from RNAcentral.